CGAGAAAACCGAAGGAGUCCUCUCUUCUCCUUCUCCUUCUCCUUCUCCUUCUCCAUCUCCACAUGAGAGAGCAAAAAUGAAGGUUGAAGCAGCUCCUAAAUCUGGAAAGAAAGGUAAGAGAGGCUGAAGAAUCUCAUGAGAGACAAGUGGAUGUUAAAAGGCAGAAGAAAAGCAAAGGUGCAGCACAGGCUAUUGUAAAGAAGAAGGUUGAAGCUAAGAGGAAGAAGAAAUAUGAAACUAGUUCUUCUGAUGAUGACUCUUCUGAUUCUGAAUAUGUAUGGACAAACCCACUACCGGUUUACUUAUGGUGCU
Hibiscus syriacus is the source of this 312-nucleotide long non-coding RNA. RefSeq lists it as uncharacterized. The record is from RefSeq and is a predicted model, not a curated record. Lineage: Eukaryota; Viridiplantae; Streptophyta; Magnoliopsida; Malvales; Malvaceae. The transcript is spliced from 3 exons.